This 255-nucleotide long non-coding RNA is filed under the name Gossypium raimondii (Peruvian cotton). Its description in RNAcentral is "long non-coding RNA (GRAI_LNC003494)". The record is from RNAcentral. Lineage: Eukaryota; Viridiplantae; Streptophyta; Magnoliopsida; Malvales; Malvaceae.
UGCCCGAAGCCCAAAACAGAAACUAAAACCAAACACAAUUACAAAUUUAAUAAAACAUGGCCCAAGUUACAAGCCCAUCUGUUAGUCCAAAUUACAGCCCAAGCUAUUGAACAAUUUCAGCAGAAAAAAACUGAACCCUAACAGCAGUUUCUUCGGCGCUGCAGCAAUUGCCCAUGUCGCGGCAACCGUUUCCACCCACGUUCAGCAAACCCCCACACCCCAUGCACGUUCUUCACCUGCAACAAAACCACAAAC